GACGGAGGGUGCUAGCGUUGUUCGGAAUGACUGGGCGUAAAGGGCGCGUAGGCGGCUCGUGAAGUCGGGUGUGAAAGCCCGGGGCUCAACCCCGGAACGGCAUCCGAUACUGGCGGGCUUGAGACCGGGAGAGGAGGGUGGAAUACCCAGUGUAGAGGUGAAAUUCGUAGAUAUUGGGAAGAACACCGGUGGCGAAGGCGGCGACCUGGUCCGUUACUGACGCUGAGGCGCGACAGCGUGGGGAGCAAACAGG
This 253-nucleotide ribosomal RNA is filed under the name uncultured bacterium. RNAcentral's name for it is "partial 16S ribosomal RNA". It matches the Rfam family "Bacterial small subunit ribosomal RNA", at positions 524 to 776 of the family's 1533-position model. The record is from RNAcentral.